GAUGAACGCUGGCGGCGUGCCUAAUACAUGCAAGUCGAGCGAACAGACGAGGAGCUUGCUCCUCUGACGUUAGCGGCGGACGGGUGAGUAACACGUGGAUAACCUACCUAUAAGACUGGGAUAACUUCGGGAAACCGGAGCUAAUACCGGAUAAUAUAUUGAACCGCAUGGUUCAAUAGUGAAAGACGGUUUUGCUGUCACUUAUAGAUGGAUCCGCGCCGCAUUAGCUAGUUGGUAAGGUAACGGCUUACCAAGGCAACGAUGCGUAGCCGACCUGAGAGGGUGAUCGGCCACACGGGAACUGAGACACGGUCCAGACGCCGACGGGAGGCAGCAGUAGGGAAUCUACCGCAAUGGGCGAAAGCCUGACGGAGCAACGCCGCGUGAGUGAUGAAGGGCUUCGGAUCGUAAAACUCUGUUAUUAGGGAAGAACAAAUGUGUAAGUAACUAUGCACGUCUGGACGGUACCUAAUCAGAAAGCCACGGCUAACUACGG
Molecule: ribosomal RNA, 496 nt
Filed under: uncultured bacterium
Lineage: Bacteria
Description: partial 16S ribosomal RNA
Rfam family: Bacterial small subunit ribosomal RNA
Source: RNAcentral